This 433-nucleotide long non-coding RNA is filed under the name Glycine max (soybean). RNAcentral describes it as "long non-coding RNA (GMAX_LNC000702)". The record is from RNAcentral. Lineage: Eukaryota; Viridiplantae; Streptophyta; Magnoliopsida; Fabales; Fabaceae.
CAAUAGACUCUUCAUUGUUGGCCACAACUGCAUGUGCUUCGUUGAGGUCGAGAAAUUUUCCAAACCUGUAUUUUCUGAUUCGUUUGAGUUUGAUGUUGGUAACUAGAGUGAUUUACAUAUUCAUAUUUGUUUUGAUUUGAUGAAUUUUUCUUUGUUUUGUUUUUUCAUAACAUAGGAUUUUAGAUGGAUGACCGUUUGAUUUCUUGUUGGAAUGAGGGAGAAGGGAAUGAAUGAGGAAUUGGUGGAUAGCGACAGUGUUUGUGAUGGUGGUGGGUUGUUACAGGAAGGAAGUGGCUGUAGCAGGUGGUGACAGUGGGCCUAUGUUGAAAAGCAAUGAAGGUUGGACGGAGCGGAUGUUAGAAACAAUAGGACUAUAGGAGUUUUGAAGGGAGGAAGCUAUGGCAAUGCGGGAGAAGAGAUACAGCGCUGAAGG